UGGGGUAUGGUGUAAUCGGUAACACAGCUGAUUCUGGUUCAGCCAUUCUAGGUUCAAGUCCUGGUACCCCAG
Molecule: transfer RNA, 72 nt
Filed under: Varibaculum cambriense
Lineage: Bacteria; Bacillati; Actinomycetota; Actinomycetes; Actinomycetales; Actinomycetaceae
Also listed under: 6 other names
Description: tRNA-Gln
Rfam family: tRNA
About the family: Transfer RNA (tRNA) molecules are approximately 80 nucleotides in length. Their secondary structure includes four short double-helical elements and three loops (D, anti-codon, and T loops).
Source: RNAcentral